RNAcentral lists this transfer RNA (77 nucleotides) under Actinoplanes xinjiangensis. Its description in RNAcentral is "tRNA-Ile". It matches the Rfam family "tRNA". Rfam says of the family: Transfer RNA (tRNA) molecules are approximately 80 nucleotides in length. Their secondary structure includes four short double-helical elements and three loops (D, anti-codon, and T loops). The record is from RNAcentral. Lineage: Bacteria; Bacillati; Actinomycetota; Actinomycetes; Micromonosporales; Micromonosporaceae.
CUCGCCGUAGCUCAGCGGUCAAGAGCGUCGCCCUGAUAAGGCGAAGGCCGGUGGUUCGACUCCACCCGGCGAGACCA